UGCGAAGUAGCUCAGCUGGUUAGAGCAGCGGAAUCAUAAUCCGCGUGUCGGGGGUUCGACCCUACGUUUUAA
Molecule: transfer RNA, 72 nt
Filed under: Planctomycetaceae bacterium
Lineage: Bacteria; Pseudomonadati; Planctomycetota; Planctomycetia; Planctomycetales; Planctomycetaceae
Description: tRNA-Met
Rfam family: tRNA
About the family: Transfer RNA (tRNA) molecules are approximately 80 nucleotides in length.
Source: RNAcentral